RNAcentral lists this microRNA (19 nucleotides) under Oryza sativa (Asian cultivated rice). Its description in RNAcentral is "microRNA osa-miR422*". Lineage: Eukaryota; Viridiplantae; Streptophyta; Magnoliopsida; Poales; Poaceae. The record is from RNAcentral.
GUGCAGAGGCAGAUGCAAC